Molecule: unclassified non-coding RNA, 444 nt
Filed under: Zanthoxylum asiaticum
Lineage: Eukaryota; Viridiplantae; Streptophyta; Magnoliopsida; Sapindales; Rutaceae
Description: contains 5' external transcribed spacer, ETS
Source: RNAcentral
UGGAUGGCGUUGGUCGGCAGGCUCCGUGCUCGUGCAUCGAACUGUCGGCGCCCCAUCCGCUUCAGUCUUGCCCCAAGCGCUGCUUGCGGGUGCUCGAGGUAUCCUGUGUUGCUUACCCAUGAAAWGGAAUUCSAUGGUUUUGGUGUCCCCAUCCGCCUUGAGCCUUUAGGGGCGUGGGGCGGACUCGAGGCGGGCUCCGUGUUCCCCGCGUGUCGAGUGCGUUGACGCUCGGCCGCUGCGGCCCACGGGGUCUCGGCCCGUGCUCUCGGAUGCGGAAUGCUGUGUGUGGGCGUGGGGGGUUUCGGCUCGUUCUCGUCCAAGCCACACUGGUUGUCCCUUGACAUGAACGACCGCGGCGUCCGUCUUGAUCGGCCGACCGAGCUCCCUUUGCGGGGUUCCGGGAGGGCGGCUCAUGCGGGCGCUUGCGUCGRAGAGGAAUGCUAC